Long non-coding RNA from Gavialis gangeticus (Gharial), 690 nucleotides. RefSeq lists it as uncharacterized. The transcript has 3 exons. Lineage: Eukaryota; Metazoa; Chordata; Crocodylia; Gavialidae. The record is from RefSeq and is a predicted model, not a curated record.
UGGAUGUUAUACUUAAAAUCAAGUGCAACUUCUACUUAAUGCCUUUAAGACAAAAGUUAGUGAUAUUGUAAAGCUCUCCCCCCUUUACUUUCAGCAUAUUUAAGAUGUAAAACAUGUUGCCCCCACCCCCUUCCUGCAAAGGGAAUGUUUCUCCACCCCAGCUACCUGGAGCCUGGGACAGUACACUGUACCUUGCUGAUAAAGAGGCUAGAGAAACUGCCAUUCUAUAAAUAAUCUCCUUGGCAUGGUUGUAACGGAGACCUUUGCUCCUGACACUGCAUUUAUUAUGCAACCUAUCCCCCAGCAGUUUUCAGAUCUGUUUCCUUGUUCGGUUUCAGAUCACAUUUCUAGCAUUGGCAUCUGGCUUUGCAUAAAACAACUUCUUAGUCUCCUAGGAGGACUCUAAUUACUUGCACAAAGCCUCUGGCCCCUUAGUACAGAUUAAAGGCUUUCUGUAACAUUCCCAGAGCUGUAGGAGGUAUUAAAAUGGACUGCAUUUCUUCCUCAGUCCAGGUUACUAAAUUGCUUCUCCAUUAGUCAUUGCUGUUGUGCUCCAUGUCUUUUAGUUUUCUUUUAAAACUUUGGCUUCAGUUCUAGCUUGAGAGAGAGAGAGUAUGUUGGAAUAAGGGAUAGCAAAUAGCCCAGCACCCAGGCAUGGGUACCCUUCCUUUCAAGCUAGAUCAGAAGCCA